This 263-nucleotide unclassified non-coding RNA is filed under the name plant metagenome. Its description in RNAcentral is "partial contains small subunit ribosomal RNA, internal transcribed spacer 1, and 5.8S ribosomal RNA". The record is from RNAcentral.
UUUCCGUAGGUGAACCUGCGGAAGGAUCAUUACUGUAUAACCGAGGAGCGAGGGCUAUCGCUGACCCGACACGCAGUGCACGCCCGAGCGCCCUCACACCCUUCCAUCUCACCCCGCUGGCCCCCACCGCGCGCGUCCCCCUUUGGCCUGUUCGGGGGGGGGCUUACGUGUCCACCGAAGCUUUCUUUGCAGUGUAGAAUGUAGUUUUUGUCUUUGCGAUAACGCAAUCAAAACAACUUUCAACAACGGAUCUCUUGGCUCUG